GUCCGACAGCUAAAAACUGCUUGGCUCCUCUGGGUUUGGUAUCUUGUUCUGGGGUACAGGUGGAGCCUACAGCCUCCUGACCACCAUCAUGCAGCCAGAACCGGUUGGCUUCACAUGUGACCUGGGUCUGACAGAGAACCCAGGAAGGAACCCACAGCUCCUGUAAGUGACCAAUGUCUGAUGAACCUAGGAAGCCCUAAAAAUGAUACACAGGUUCAGAGCCAGGCACCUCCUCCUUCGGCA
This is a long non-coding RNA of Mesocricetus auratus (golden hamster), 243 nucleotides long. RefSeq lists it as uncharacterized. Lineage: Eukaryota; Metazoa; Chordata; Mammalia; Rodentia; Cricetidae. The record is from RefSeq and is a predicted model, not a curated record. The transcript has 3 exons.